GACGAACGCUGGCGGCGUGCUUAACACAUGCAAGUCGAACGGAAAGGCCCUGCUUGCAGGGUACUCGAGUGGCGAACGGGUGAGUAACACGUGGGUGAUCUGCCCUGCACUUCGGGAUAAGCCUGGGAAGCUGGGUCUAAUACCGGAUAGGAGCCAUUUUUAGUGUGAUGGUUGGAAAGUUUUUUCGGUGUAGGAUGAGCUCGCGGCCUAUCAGCUUGUUGGUGGGGUAAUGGCCUACCAAGGCGGCGACGGGUAGCCGGCCUGAGAGGGUGGACGGCCACAUUGGGACUGAGAUACGGCCCAGACUCCUACGGGAGGCAGCAGGGGGGAAUAUUGCACAAUGGGCGCAAGCCUGAUGCAGCGACGCCGCGUGGGGGAUGACGGCCUUCGGGUUGUAAACUCCUUUCGCUAGGGACGAAGCUUUUUGUGACGGUACCUAGAGAAGAAGCACCGGCUAACUACGUG
RNAcentral lists this ribosomal RNA (465 nucleotides) under uncultured bacterium. RNAcentral describes it as "partial 16S ribosomal RNA". It matches the Rfam family "Bacterial small subunit ribosomal RNA", at positions 28 to 507 of the family's 1533-position model. The record is from RNAcentral.